RNAcentral lists this unclassified non-coding RNA (2349 nucleotides) under Agrilus planipennis (emerald ash borer). RNAcentral describes it as "guanylate cyclase soluble subunit beta-1, transcript variant X1". Lineage: Eukaryota; Metazoa; Arthropoda; Insecta; Coleoptera; Buprestidae. The record is from RNAcentral.
CAAGUUGUGUAUAGCAUCAUGGUGCAUUAGUGCCAUCUAAUAGCACGGUUCGUUAAAACAAGCGCAUGUGCCAACUUAGAUCAAUAUAACCAUCAGAGAAAUUCUUGUGAAGUUUUCCCCAUUUGAGAAUCAGGCGCUAUUUGAAACACGUAUAUAGUAGAAACGAACAGGGUGGUACGUAAAUUGAGAAACGGAAAGAAACUUUUUUAAAGGAAUAUGUACGGAUUUGUAAACUACGCUUUGGAACUUUUGGUAAUUAAAACGUUUGGAGAAGAUACUUGGGAAACUAUUAAGAAAAAUGCAGAUGUUCAAAUGGAGGGUCAGUUUUUGGCCCGUCAAAUCUACGACGAUGAAAUUACCUACAAUAUUGUCUCAGCUGCUGUUGAAGUUCUCAAUAUUCCAGCAAAUGCAAUUUUGGAAUUGUUUGGGAAAGCUUUUUUUGAGUUUUGCCAAGAUUCAGGCUAUGACAAAAUCCUGCAAGUUUUGGGAGCAACACCUCGAGAUUUCUUACAGAAUCUAGACGCAUUACACGAUCAUCUCGGUACUCUAUACCCAGGUAUGAGAGCUCCUUCGUUUCGUUGUACAGAACGUCCUGAGGAUGGAGCGUUAAUUCUCCAUUAUUAUUCUGACAGGCCAGGCUUGGAACCAAUUGUCAUAGGUAUCGUUAAGGCAGUAGCUAGUAAACUCCAUCAAACUGAAGUUGAAGUUGAAAUAUUGAAAACGAAAGAGGAAUGUGACCACGUUCAAUUUCUCAUAACUGAGAAAAGUAAACCUGAUAGGACACAAAGUACAGAAAUUGAGGAAAUCGAAACACUAUCACUUGAACAAAAAGUAAGCCCAGCAACAUUCUGUAAAGUGUUUCCAUUCCACAUCAUGUUCAACAGAGACAUGAAAAUAAUUCAAGCUGGUAAUACAGUGACAAGAAUCAUGCCUAAAGUUAAUGGAAAUGAUUGCAAGAUAACGGACGUGUUAGAUCCGGUUCGUCCGCACUUGGAACUAACAUUCGAAAACAUUCUUUCACAUAUUAACACCAUAUACGUGUUGAAGACUAAAGGAGGCGUGAUUCAAGCGAACGCGUCUCCAGAGUAUAGAUACUUGCGUCUGAAAGGCCAAAUGCUGUACGUGCCAGAAACCGAUGUGGUCAUUUUUAUCUGCUAUCCCAGUGUAAUGAACCUCGAUGACCUCACAAGACGAGGACUAUAUAUAAGCGAUAUACCAUUACAUGAUGCUACAAGAGAUUUGGUUUUAAUGUCUGAACAAUUCGAAGCCGAUUAUAAACUUACUAGAAAUCUUGAGAUUCUUACCGACAAAUUGCAGCAGACAUACAGAGAACUUGAGAGCGAAAAGCAGAAGACUGAUAGGUUAUUGUACUCGGUACUUCCCAUAACUGUUGCAAAUGAUUUGAGACACAAGAGACCCGUUCCCGCUAGAAGAUAUGACUGUGUGACUUUGCUUUUUUCUGGAAUUGUCGACUUCUCCACGUAUUGUGCAAAUAACACAGAUUCCAAAGGCGCAAUGAAAACGGUACACAUGCUUAACCAACUGUAUACCGCUUUCGACGUUUUAACCGAUCCUAAGAGGAAUCCGAAUAUUUAUAAGGUUGAAACAGUAGGCGAUAAAUACAUGGCUGUUAGCGGCUUGCCAGAGCCAUGCAUUUCCCAUGCUAGGAAUAUAGGAAGACUCGCCUUAGAUAUGAUGGACAAAAUGAAAGAAAUCGCAAUCGACGAAGAACAAGUUAAAAUAACAAUAGGUAUUCAUUCUGGUGAAGUUGUAACAGGAGUAAUUGGGCACCGUAUGCCUCGAUAUUGUUUGUUUGGAAAUACAGUCAACUUAACCAGUAGAACUGAAACAACUGGAACUCCAGGACGCAUUAAUGUAUCGGAAGAUGCCUACACAUUUCUAUGUCGAGAGGAUAACUUCGAUGAGCAAUUCUGCUUCGAAUAUAGAGGUCCAGUAAUUAUGAAAGGAAAAUCUGAGCCAAUGAAAGUCUGGUUUUUAUCACGAGCAGCCAAUAAUAAGGAUUGCGAUGCAUCUCCGUAAUUACACUUUAGUUUCUAUUCUAAACACAUGUGGUGUAAUAAAGGAAGUUUACAUGUACAUUGAUUUAAUAGAGAAAAAGAAUUUCUCGUUCAUAAAAGGCUAUUUAUAUUCAGAUUGAUGUAAAGUGCUACAUGUAUAUGUAUAUUUCUAAAACAGACACAAGAAAAAGAGCCACAUCAUCGUCAUUAAAUUCGCUGUUGAUGAACUGCAUUAACGGUUAAACAGAUGGUUAAUAACAAUGAUAAUAAUAAUGUUGUCUUCGUAUAUAGUACAAUUUUAGGUGUACUAAGUAAUUUCAAGAAAAUUAAA